AUGAGUAAUAAGACUGUUAGAGUGCAGUUAUAUAGUAGUUUAUCUAUACAUGAUCAGGUGUCAUUAUCCAGCCUGUCCCACUUUGUGUGGGCGUUUGCUGGCACGUCUGUCCCCCCUGUGCGGUUUACGUCUGCCCCCCCCCCCGUGCUGUUUGUCUAUCCUGUGCGUGUACGUCUGUGUCCCCCUGUGCGGUUUACGUCUGUCCAGUGCGUGUACGUCUGUGUCCCUCUGUGCGGUUUACGUCUAUCCUGUGCGUGUACGUCUGCCCCCCCUGUGCGGUUUACGUCUGUGUCCCCCUGUGCGGUUUACGUCUGUGUCCCCCUGUGCGGUUUACGUCUGUGUCCCCCUGUGCGGUUUACGUCUGUGUCCCCCUGUGCGGUUUACGUCUGUGUCCCCCUGUGCGGUUUACGUCUGUGUCCCCCUGUGCGGGUUACAGCUGUGUCCCCCUGUGCGGUUUACAGCUGUGUCCCCCUGUGCGGUUUACAGCUGUGUCCCCCUGUGCGGUUUACGUCUGCCCGUCCCCCUGUGCGGUUUACAGCUGUGUCCCCCUGUGCGGUUUACGUCUGCCCGUCCCCCUGUGCGGUUUACAGCUGUGUCCCCCUGUGCGGUUUACAGCUGUGUCCCCCUGUGCGGUUUACAGCUGUGUCCCCCUGUGCGGUUUACAGCUGUGUCCCCCUGUGCGGUUUACAGCUGUGUCCCCCUGUGCGGUUUACAGCUGUGUCCCCCUGUGCGGUUUACAGCUGUGUCCCCCUGUGCGGUUUACAGCUGUGUCCCCCUGUGCGGUUUACAGCUGUGUCCCCCUGUGCGGUUUACAGCUGUGUCCCCCUGUGCGGUUUACGUCUGCCCGUCCCCCUGUGCGGUUUACGUCUGCCCGUCCCCCUGUGCGGUUUACGUCUGCCCGUCCCCCUGUGCGGUUUACGUCUGCCCGUCCCCCUGUGCGGUUUACAGCUGUGUCCCCCUGUGCGGUUUAUGUCUGCCCGUCCCCCUGUGCGGUUUACAGCUGUGUCCCCCUGUACGGUUUACGUCUGUGUCCCCCUGUGCGGUUUACGUCUGCCCGUCCCCCUGUGCGGUUUACAGCUCUGUCCCCCUGUGCGGUUUACGUCUGCCCGUCCCCCUGUGCGGUUUACAGCUGUGUCCCCCUGUGCGGUUUACAGCUGUGUCCCCCUGUGCGGUUUACAGCUGUGUCCCCCUGUGCGGUUUACAGCUGUGUCCCCCUGUGCGGUUUACAGCUGUGUCCCCCUGUGCGGUUUACAGCUGUGUCCCCCUGUGCGGUUUACAGCUGUGUCCCCCUGUGCGGUUUACAGCUGUGUCCCCCUGUGCGGUUUACAGCUGUGUCCCCCUGUGCGGUUUACAGCUGUGUCCCCCUGUGCGGUUUACAGCUGUGUCCCCCUGUGCGGUUUACAGCUGUGUCCCCCUGUGCGGUUUACGUCUGCCCGUCCCCCUGUGCGGUUUACAGCUGUGUCCCCCUGUGCGGUUUACGUCUGCCCGUCCCCCUGUGCGGUUUACAGCUGUGUCCCCCUGUGCGGUUUAUGUCUGUCCUGUGCGUGUCUGUCUCCCUGUCCCACCACCAUUUGUUGCCUUGCUUUAAUCAGGCCCAGAAGAAAGCCGUUGUAUUUUGGCCCGUCUGUCAUCGGAGGCCGUCCCUGAUAACGCUAUAACCAACGUUUCCUCCACUCGGAUGCCACCGCCAGAUAAAAAAAAAAAGGCCAAAUCAAGAGGAGAGGCGACGCUCUCGCUUUCUCUCACCUCCACCCACUCCCCCUUUCUUCCAUCUGUUUUCCUGGCAUAUUAUUCAUUUCCUCUUUUGGAGGCAGAAAAAGAACCCGGUUCUGAUUCAUGACUCCUUGAUUUUUGUUUGCAUUUCUUUUUCUUGUUUUCUUUUGUUUGAUGUUUUUUAAAUGAGCUGUCUUUUUGUUUUUGUGUUGCCUUUUCCUCCGCUAAAAGGGAGUUUAAAGUCUAAAUGUUCCCGUAAUGCUACUUACUGUACAUAUCAGAGGCUUGGUGUGCCCUGUGGGUUGUAGGCACACACCACUGAGACAUGUCAGUUAAUGAAUACAGGAUUGAUAUUAAUUAGGUUUGUUCUGGGUGUUUCUGUGUGGGAGUCUGUCUGUGCAUCCACUUCUACUGUUCACAUUUCAUUGACCCCUUCUUCCACACACACACACACACACACACACACACACACACACCCACACACCCAACCAACCAACCAACCAACCAACCAACCUAAUUAAUUUAGUGAAUGUGCAACCUAGACUAGUGAAAUUGUUGCAAAGCCACAAGUAAUGGCAACUCUUGUUCGUCACAAUAAGGCGUUUUGAGUUGCUGCGUUAAGAUUCUUAAUUCUAGGAAAUUGAGAGGAUUUGAUAGUUGGGAUUUUGUAUUACAAUGUCAUGACUUGGAACAACUGGCAGAGAAGGAAAGCAACCAGAUCAAUGCUCUUAAGUGUUCCUGCAAAGAACCUAUCACAUGUUAACGCCUUUCAGUUUAGCCAUGAAAAUGCUGGACAAUUUGGUACUAUUAUAGUCUAGAUUAAACAUUCUGAUAAUUGCAAGUCUAGAAAUGGAAACAAACAAUUCUCUAUCCUGGAAUUUAGAGAACCAUUUUCUCUCCAUAUGGUUGCGAUACAUAUACACUGAGUGUAUAAAAGAUUUUAAGAAUACCUUCCUGAUAUUGGAAUCCACAUGGUGUAGAAAGCGUUUCACAGGGAUGCUGGCCCAUGUUGACUCCAAUGCUUCCCACAGUUGUGUCAAAUUGGCUGGAUGUCCUGUUGGGUGGUGGACCGUUCUUGAUACGCACGGGAAACCUGAGUGUGGAAAAACCAAGCAGCGUUGCGGUUUUUGACAAACUGGUGCGCCUGGCACCUACUACCAUACCUCGUUCAAAGGCACUUCCAUUUUGUUCUUGCCCAUUCACCCUCUGGAUGGCACACAUACACAAUCCAUGUCUCGAUUGUGUCGAGGCUUAAAAAUGUAACAUGUCUCCUCUUCAUCAACACUGAUUUUGAAGUGUAUUUAACAAGUGACAUCAACAAGGGAUCAUAGUUUUCACCUGGUCAGUCUGUCACAGAAAGAACAGGUGUUAUUUUGAUUAAAAAUGAGCAAAUAAGACUGUAUACAAUAAUGAACUACAUUGCUCCGUAUUUGUUGUUUUGCCUGAUCUUUAUCAAGGGUGCCAAUAAUUGCGCACCUGACUGUACAUGCAUAUAGCCUUUGUGUUUGUAAUGCACUGAGCUAUGCGCUCCACUGAACAUGUUGCCAUUGACCCUGAACUUAAACCUCACCUUAUGUGUAAACAAACACAGCUAGAACUAUGCCAUGAGGUCUAGGUCUGGACUCACCCAAUUCUUUGUUCAAAUACUAGUUUGUGUUUACUGAAACACUGAGGAAGUUGGAUAUUGUAGUACUGUCUGUAUGUUUAGUGUUUUUCACUAGUUUAGAUACCUGGCAGUUGGUUUUAGUUGUAAAUGAAGGUUCACGGGUCAAAGGUUGGUGGUUGCAACGCUGGUCCUAAAAAAUUCACUGGAGAGAAGAGGGUGCGGAUUUCACUUUUAUUCUCUUAUUUGUGGCGCCACCCACCCAGAGCUUACUUAAAAAAUAAAUAAAAUGAAUAAAUUACUUGGAGGUAAGUUGACUGUCUCAACCUUGAUUCCACUGAAACGUGUGACGUUAGAAUAGCACCUCCCAACAGGAAAAUAAAGAGCCUUGAUAUCGUAGUGCAGAGGCCGCCCAGUUGGGGUCUCAACUUACUGUUGCAAGUUAGAAUGGUAGAAUACCAAAAGUUGCAAUUUUGAAAUGUGGUUGUGCGUCAUCAGUUUCUCUUAUGUCAGUCAUUGAUAGACAAUUAGCCCAUGUCAGCUCGCAUAGUUUAGCG
This 3873-nucleotide long non-coding RNA is filed under the name Oncorhynchus mykiss (rainbow trout). Its description in RNAcentral is "lncRNA (ENSOMYG00000051391.1)". Lineage: Eukaryota; Metazoa; Chordata; Actinopteri; Salmoniformes; Salmonidae. The record is from RNAcentral.